UAAGACGAACCAAGCAAACGUUGUUCGGAAUCACUGGGCUUAAAGGGCGCGUAGGCGGUCUCGCAAGUCCGGGGUGAAAUCUUUCGGCUCAACCGGAAAAUUGCCUUGGAUACUGCGAGGCUCGAGGGAGGUAGGGGUCACGGGAACAUCCAGUGGAGCGGUGAAAUGCGUUGAUAUUGGAUGGAACGCCGGUGGCGAAAGCGCGUGACUGGACCUCUUCUGACGCUGAGGCGCGAAAGCCAGGGUAGCGAACGGGAUUAGAUACCCCGGUAGUCCUGGCCCUAAACGAUGAGCACUAGAUUGGGAGAGUGACAUGCUCCCCCAAUCGAAGCUAAAGUGUUAAGUGCUCCGCCUGGGGAGUAUGGUCGCAAGGCUG
RNAcentral lists this ribosomal RNA (376 nucleotides) under uncultured bacterium. RNAcentral's name for it is "bacterial SSU rRNA". It matches the Rfam family "Bacterial small subunit ribosomal RNA", at positions 521 to 896 of the family's 1533-position model. The record is from RNAcentral.